This 563-nucleotide ribosomal RNA is filed under the name uncultured bacterium. RNAcentral's name for it is "bacterial SSU rRNA". It matches the Rfam family "Bacterial small subunit ribosomal RNA", at positions 338 to 916 of the family's 1533-position model. The record is from RNAcentral.
CCUACGGGAGGCAGCAGUAGGGAAUAUUGGUUAAUCUGGGAAACCGGGAACCAGCAACGCCGCGUGCACGAUGAAGGCCUUCGGGUUGUAAAGUGCUUUUUGAAAGGAUGAGGAAGGACAGUACUUUCAGAAUAAGCUUCGGCUAACUACGUGCCAGCAGCCGCGGUAAAACGUAGGAAGCGAGCGUUAUCCGGAUUUACUGGGCGUAAAGCGUGUGUAGGCGGUUUGACAAGUUGGAUGUGAAAGCUCCUGGCUUAACUGGGAGAGGUCGUUCAAAACUGUCAGACUUGAGAGUGGUAGAGGGAGGUGGAAUUCCGGGUGUAGUGGUGAAAUGCGUAGAUAUCCGGAGGAACACCAGUGGCGAAAGCGGCCUCCUGGCCCAUUUCUGACGCUCAGACACGAAAGCUAAGGUAGCAAACGGGAUUAGAGACCCCGGUAGUCUUAGCUGUAAACGAUGUGAACUUAGUGUCGGUGGGUUUAAAUCCAUCGGUACUGAAGCAAACGCGAUAAGUUCACCGCCUGGGGACUACGGCCGCAAGGUUAAAACUCAAAGGAAUUGACGG